This 390-nucleotide ribosomal RNA is filed under the name Hepatozoon sp. RNAcentral describes it as "bacterial SSU rRNA". It matches the Rfam family "Eukaryotic small subunit ribosomal RNA", at positions 404 to 782 of the family's 1831-position model. The record is from RNAcentral. Lineage: Eukaryota; Apicomplexa; Hepatozoidae.
CGGCUACCACAUCUAAGGAAGGCAGCAGGCGCGCAAAUUACCCAAUUCUAACAGCAUAAGAGAGGUAGUGACAAGAAAUAACAAUACAAGGUAAUUAAAUUGCUUUGUAAUUGGAAUGAUAGAAAUUUAAACACUUUUUAAAGUAUCAAUUGGAGGGCAAGUCUGGUGCCAGCAGCCGCGGUAAUUCCAGCUCCAAUAGCGUAUAUUAAAAUUGUUGCAGUUAAAAAGCUCGUAGUUGAAUUUCUGUUAAAAAUAACCGGUCUGCUUUUAUUAAAAGUGGUAUCUUGGUGUGUUUUUAGCAAUAAUGUCCUUUGAAAUGUUUUUUACUUUAUUGUAAUAAGUCAUUAUUUUGAGGAUUUUUACUUUGAGAAAAUUAGAGUGUUUCUAGCA